RNAcentral lists this transfer RNA (67 nucleotides) under Orientallactaga sibirica (Mongolian five-toed jerboa). RNAcentral describes it as "Allactaga sibirica (Mongolian five-toed jerboa) tRNA-Tyr". Lineage: Eukaryota; Metazoa; Chordata; Mammalia; Rodentia; Dipodidae. The record is from RNAcentral.
UGGUAAAAAGAGGGCUUGAACCUCUGUCUUUAGAUUUACAGUCUAAUGCUUACUCGGCCAUUUUACC